GUAAAAAAAAUAAUGGUAUGCCGCUAAUACAAACAAUGAUACAACUUUUAUAAAAGAACAAAGUUUCUAUUUCCUCCACGUUGCACGUAGUUUAUCUAACAAAAGGCAAUAGCAAACAAUAUGUUUAUGCACCCGUAAAAAUUUUCGGGACGUAAAAUGGUAUAGAAAUGCCCGCGUCCGUCUGUCCGUCGUAAAUAUGGUACAGCAUAUUAUCAUUAAACUGAACAUGGUUGUUUUUUCAGUCAUGAUGGUCAAACGGUCUGUAUCAUUUUUGGUGAACUUUAUAAGUUACAGGACUUUGUAACUAGAACAGUUUUUUUUUACAGUUCGCGCUGCAUCUAGAAAACGUUUUAUGACUAUUGCUCUAAACUUUACGCACUUCUUAGUUAUAUAAUUCUGAAGAACUUGUAUAUACUUUUGAGAAUGAUUCAGAAUUUGAUUUUAGAGUUAUUGAGUUUAUGACAAAAAGGGGUUGGGGUUCACAUGUCGCGCCGUAUCUCAGAAACUAUCUAUAAUAAUUGCAUAGAACUUCACAUACUUUUUAGUUAAAUUAUUCUUAAGAUCUGUAUACUUUUUCGUGAUGAUUCUUUAAUUCAUUUUUGAGUUCUUGAAUUUUUAUUGAGCUUCAAUUUGGGGAUCAU
RNAcentral lists this long non-coding RNA (641 nucleotides) under Mytilus galloprovincialis (Mediterranean mussel). The record is from RNAcentral. Lineage: Eukaryota; Metazoa; Mollusca; Bivalvia; Mytilida; Mytilidae.